RNAcentral lists this ribosomal RNA (711 nucleotides) under Triticum aestivum (bread wheat). RNAcentral's name for it is "partial small subunit ribosomal RNA". The record is from RNAcentral. Lineage: Eukaryota; Viridiplantae; Streptophyta; Magnoliopsida; Poales; Poaceae.
AUGAGCUUCGCUCAAGAGCAUAGCUCAUACCAAAGCAAUUACUCACAUGGGUGGACUGAAAACCAGAAUAUGUCAUAUAGGAACAACAGCCCUGAGAUCUCAUCGGUUGCCUCUAGUUAUCCAAUGCAGGGAUUUAGGUACAAUGAGGAGAGCCACAACUAUGCACCACAACAAUUUCAUUCAGCUCCUACUCAUAUACCUCAACACCAGGAGACGUGUCUAAUGGAGUUAAAUGGUCCUCCACUUGGUCAACCAACAACUCCAGCACCUGUUGAGCAAUUUCAUGCACAAGUGCCCACACAAGAUGACUUUGAUGAUAUAGACAAGCUAACAUUGCUUAGUCUCGAGUUCACUUGGAGUGCUGAAGAUGAUUCAAUUAGGCCGGUGAUACUAGAGGAAAUGAAGAAGAUCAAGAGUGGAAAAGACCUAGUGGAAGAAGUAAGGAAAAUUGAGAAGAAUAUCAAUGCCGGGUGCAUUAUCUCAUCCCUCCUUGAGCCGAUUGUUGCCGAGAUUCCCCUUGAUACAUGUGACGUUCCAAUACCGUCACAUCCAGCUGAGCAAGAUAGUAAGAGUCCAGAGGAAGAAAGAUCUCAGAUUGAAGAAGAAAUACUUGAAGACAAGGAACAAGAUGAUCCAGAGCUCGAACAACAAAGUGAUCAAGUUGAAGACUCAUCAUGUAUUAUUCUUGAAGAAUUAUUUUCCUUAUGCUAG